UCUUUCUUCUGUCGUGGUCGGGCUUGAGUCUUACUCAAAUUUUACACCUUUACAACACAACCAAGAACUCCUUCUUUGAUUGAUCUAUUUUGAACUCCUUCAAAAAUCUAGUCAUGGUAUGUAUUCAUUGAAAGUUUUUAUCAAGCGUCUUGAUCUAUUUCGAUAGAUCUUGGUGCUCGAUGUUCAAGUAGCUCAAUCCAGGUUUUUCUUUGAAAAAUUCCUUUCGAACAACCCUUUAUGCUUUCCAGAAAUCCUAAAUUAUUUCCAAUCAACAAUAUGUCAACCAUAUAUACUCAUCAGAAAUUCUAUAGUGCUCCCACUCACUUUCUUGGAAAUACAAGUUUCUCAUAAACUUUGUAUAAACCCAAAAACUUUGAUCAUCUCAUCAAAGCAUAUAUUUCAACUACGAGAUGCUUGCCCCAGUCCAUAGAAGGAUCGUUGGAGCUUGCGUACUUGUUAGCAUCCUUAGGGUCGACAAAACCUUCUGGUUGUAUCACAUACAUGUUG
This 507-nucleotide long non-coding RNA is filed under the name Hordeum vulgare. RNAcentral describes it as "long non-coding RNA (HVUL_LNC015952)". Lineage: Eukaryota; Viridiplantae; Streptophyta; Magnoliopsida; Poales; Poaceae. The record is from RNAcentral.